Molecule: ribosomal RNA, 144 nt
Filed under: uncultured bacterium
Lineage: Bacteria
Description: partial 16S ribosomal RNA
Rfam family: Bacterial small subunit ribosomal RNA
Source: RNAcentral
UGGGGAAUAUUGCACAAUGGGCGCAAGCCUGAUGCAGCAACGCCGCGUGCGGGAUGACGGCCUUCGGGUUGUAAACCGCUUUUAGUAGGGAAGAAGGGCUUCGGCUUGACGGUACCUGCAGAAAAAGGACCGGCUAACUACGUG